UACGUAGGGAGCAAGCGUUGUCCGGAAUCAUUGGGCGUAAAGCGCGCGUAGGCGGCCCUGUAAGUCCGUUGUGAAAGUCAAAGGCUCAACCUUUGAAAGCCGAUGGAUACUGCAGGGCUGGAGUCCGGAAGAGGCGAGUGGAAUUCCUGGUGUAGCGGUGGAAUGCGCAGAUAUCAGGAGGAACACCAAUAGCGAAGGCAGCUCGCUGGGACGGUACUGACGCUGAGGCGCGAAAGCGUGGGGGAGCGAACAGG
RNAcentral lists this ribosomal RNA (254 nucleotides) under uncultured bacterium. RNAcentral describes it as "partial 16S ribosomal RNA". It matches the Rfam family "Bacterial small subunit ribosomal RNA", at positions 524 to 776 of the family's 1533-position model. The record is from RNAcentral.